Molecule: long non-coding RNA, 346 nt
Filed under: Brassica napus (rape)
Lineage: Eukaryota; Viridiplantae; Streptophyta; Magnoliopsida; Brassicales; Brassicaceae
Description: long non-coding RNA (BNAP_LNC019059)
Source: RNAcentral
AUUCUUUCUUCCGUAAAGCUUUUUCGUAAGGAAGAAUCUAUUUUGAAAAAUACCCUUCGGAGAAAUUCUUAUUUUCUUCCUCGGACGUUUUGAAUGUUAAAUUUGUCGUAACCGUUUUUAACGCCAACACUCUUCGUAAAGAUAUCUUUACGAAGAUUACUUUUCGUAAAAACGUUUAUGCUGAUUUUUACGGACUUUCAGACAUUGAUUCCGUCGUGACCGAUUUUGACCCCAACAGUUAGCCCUCAGCUCGUUAGAACCAUGAGCUUCUAGCGUGAGGUUCUAGCGAGUGGCUUGGCGAGUUAGGCAAGUUAGGUGAGUUAGGCGGAAUUAAUGGUUGAAAAGG